UAAAUGCAUGAGUUUUACUUGUUAGGAUCACACAAUUAACUGUAUUCUAAACUACUAAAAUACUAAGAAAUACUACAAUAUUUUCUCUCAAUAACAAUACUCCUUCAUCAACUAAUAACAACAGUGUGUAACCCUGCACUCUCAAAGGACCAUUCAAAAGACAUAAUUUCCAUCAAAUACCAAAAUUAACAGUCUUCAUUUCAACCAAUCUGAAUUCACAUAAUUUUUGUAAUCACAGACUUCUUUUGUCCAAAAUACACACAACUCUCACUAAACAACAAUCAUAAUCUUCCAAUAACUCCUCAUAUAAUUCAAUCACUCAGUGCUCUAAUUACAUAAUCAAUAAUUGUAAUUAUCAUUUUACUUAUUCUAUAAUUCCUUCAGGAAUAAAUCUAUAUAGGAGAAUUCGAACAAAGAGAAAGACUAAGCGCAUGAGUUUCACUUGUUAGGAUUACACAAUUAACUAUAUUUUGAACCACAAAAACACUAAGAAAUAAUACAAUGCUUCGUCCCAAUAACAAUACUCCUUCAUCAAUUGAUAACCACAAUGUAUAACCCUGCACUCUCAAAAGACCGCUCAAAAUUCAAUAAAUUCCAUCCAACACCAAGAAUAAUAGACUUCACUCCAACCAAUCUAAAUUCACAAAAUUCCUGUAAUCACAGACUUCCUCUAUCGAAACACACACAUACAACUCUCAAUAAACAACAAUCAUAAUCUUUCAUCCAUAAUCAAUCUUCCAAUAACUUCUCAUAUAAUUCAAUCACUCAAUACUCCACUUACAUAAUCAAUAACUCAUAAAUCAAUCUCUGAUUUAUUCCACAAACUCACUUCUCAGUAUUCAAUAACUAUCUAUUAUUCUUCAAUAAUAAAGAAACAAAGAAAACAAAGAUGAAGUACUAAACUUAACCCCGGCUC
This 916-nucleotide long non-coding RNA is filed under the name Physcomitrium patens. RNAcentral describes it as "long non-coding RNA (PPAT_LNC003840)". The record is from RNAcentral. Lineage: Eukaryota; Viridiplantae; Streptophyta; Bryopsida; Funariales; Funariaceae.